AAGGAGCCCCCAAUGAGCCACCUCUCCUCACCCCCCAAAAAACAUAAGGGGGAGCACAAAGGCCACAGUCUCCCCCAUGGUUCAGAAAGGGGUAGCUCCUCCCGGGACAAGGACCGAAGUGCGACGGUCAGUAGUUCAGUGCCCAUGCCUGCUGGAGGGAAGGGAAGCCAUCCUUCAUCUGCACCCCAGAGGGUCCCCAACCGCCUGAUCCACGAGAAGUCACCAUACCUCCUACAACAUGCCUACAAUCCUGUGGACUGGUACCCCUGGGGACAGGAAGCCUUCGACAAGGCCAGGAAAGAAAACAAGCCGAUUUUCCUCUCAGUCGGGUACUCCACCUGCCACUGGUGCCACAUGAUGGAAGAGGAGUCCUUCCAGAAUGAGGAGAUCGGCCGCUUGCUCAGUGAGGACUUCGUGAGCGUGAAGGUAGACCGUGAGGAGCGGCCUGACGUCGACAAGGUGUACAUGACGUUCGUGCAGGUGAGCAGCCCUCCUCGGGAGUGUAUGCGCCACAUGGGGUCAGGGCAGCUCCCCUCACCCUCGCUCUCUCUCUGCCAGGCCACCAGCAGUGGCGGGGGCUGGCCCAUGAAUGUGUGGCUGACUCCCAACCUCCAGCCCUUUGUCGGGGGCACCUAUUUCCCUCCUGAGGAUGGCUUGACCCGAGUCGGCUUCCGCACAGUGUUGCUGAGAAUACGAGAACAGUGGAAACAGAACAAGAACACCCUGCUAGAAAAUAGCCAGCGUGUCACCACCGCCCUGCUGGCCCGAUCAGAGAUCAGCGUGGGUGACCGCCAGCUGCCGCCCUCUGCCGCCACCAUGAACAAUCGCUGCUUCCAGCAGCUGGACGAGGGCUAUGAUGAGGAAUAUGGUGGCUUCGCUGAGGCCCCCAAGUUUCCCACGCCGGUGAUCUUGAGCUUCCUGUUCUCCUACUGGCUCAGCCAUCGACUGACUCAGGAUGGCUCUCGGGCCCAGCAGAUGGCCUUGCAUACCCUGAAAAUGAUGGCUAACGGGGGCAUCCGGGACCACGUGGGGCAGGGCUUUCACCGAUACUCCACAGACCGCCAGUGGCACGUCCCUCACUUUGAGAAGAUGCUCUAUGACCAGGCACAGCUCGCUGUGGCCUAUUCGCAGGCCUUCCAGAUCUCUGGCGAUGAAUUCUACUCUGAUAUGGCCAAAGGCAUCCUGCAGUACGUGGCUCGGAGCCUGAGCCACCGGUCUGGAGGCUUCUAUAGCGCUGAGGAUGCAGACUCGCCCCCAGAGCGGGGCAUGCGGCCCAAAGAGGGCGCCUACUAUGUGUGGACGGUCAAAGAGGUUCAGCAGCUCCUCCCGGAGCCUGUGCUGGGUGCCACCGAGCCGCUGACCUCAGGCCAGCUCCUGAUGAAGCACUACGGCCUCACGGAGGCUGGUAACAUCAGCCCCAGUCAGGACCCCAAGGGGGAGCUGCAGGGCCAGAAUGUGCUGACCGUCCGGUACUCGCUGGAGCUGACUGCUGCCCGCUUUGGCUUGGAUGUGGAGGCCGUGCGGACCUUGCUUAAUACAGGGCUGGAGAAGCUCUUCCAGGCCCGGAAGCAUCGGCCCAAGCCACACCUGGACAGCAAGAUGCUGGCUGCCUGGAAUGGUGGGGCAGCAUCUCUGAGACCGAGCCUGUCUGUAGGAUCCCCCUUCACAAAGCCUCUGUCUGUCCGGCACCUGCUAAAUGCUCACUCUCCCUUUAUUAGCGUUAUUAUUCUCAGUUGACAAAAGAGGCUUAAGGAGCUUGAGUAACCUGCCCAAGGUCACACACA
This 1784-nucleotide small RNA is filed under the name Pongo abelii (Sumatran orangutan). Its description in RNAcentral is "retained intron". Lineage: Eukaryota; Metazoa; Chordata; Mammalia; Primates; Hominidae. The record is from RNAcentral.